AUUUAACGACUGAUGUUGGCUGUUUUCGAUAUUAGCAAAAUUAAAGUAAUUUGCGUCCAUUAUAACUGUAUUCAGAACACAAUGGCAAGUUUCUUGCCUGGAUAAUUGUUAUUGGUCAAAUCGGGGUCGAAUCACGUUUUCCCGAAAAUACUUCGUCUAUCUUCGGUAAGAGUCGGAUUGUUCGUGCAAGACAACCACGAGGUUUACGAUCCAUUCGGACAAACCAUGCGAUGUGCAAUCUUGAGAGGACGAUCGUCUGCCUUUUUACCGGGUGAAGUGUUGACAAUUUAUACAUGUAGCUGGAGAUGAAACGUGUUGGCAGUUGUUGAUGACUUCAGGUCAAUCCGAAUUAGAGAAUCUGGCUGAGCAAAGAGAUGUGCUUCAGUAAUAAAGAGUUGACAAGAAAGCUGUUAGCAAAAAGAGUUUCCAUUACUCUAUGCAGUCCCUACUCUUGUGACAUGUAGUCAAGAUGCUUUUGCUGACUUUUCUGUUCUCCUCAGAGGUGAGGGUAUUGGCAGAACAUUUUGUUUAGAAUAGAAUCUGUUUGUAAAUUACAUUCAGGUGUGUCUUGAUGCGUUAAUUUUCUCUAUGUUAAUUUUCUGUCUUGCAUUGGUAAAAUGGAGGUGCUUGGUGCAAAUGAUGACCCCCAGAAUAGGGACAUAAGAAAGUCACUCAGUGACUUGGUUAGAAAACCUGGGUUGUUUGUCUGAUGUGUCAAGUCACUUCUCACAACAAGUUGCAAGGGAUUCAGUUGAUCAUCUUUGUUACAGAACUACUAAUGAUGCUUCUCAAUUGAAUUGUUUUUUUAAAAAAAACCAAGAAUGGAGUUAAGAGGAUUGAGAACUCUCCAACUGUGGUAAGUAUUAAUUAAUAAUUUCCAAUGAUUGAACCGUAAAAUUCUGCUUAAAGAAGCCCUGGGCUUACACAUCUUUAUGAGGGUUUUUGUGCGGCAUGUAAACAGUAUCGUUUUGACAUAAAUGCAGCUGAUGCACUAGAUCCCAAAUCCAAAAGUGCAAACCCCCCUUUUCUCUAUUUCACUGUUCUUGUGGAGUGGAGGACAUGUCUAUUGCACCCCUUCCCCCUCAAAAUGGCCACCCCUUGACAAUACCAGUUAAGCCUGUCCCAAGCAGCAGCUGGGGAGGGAAGGUUGAGCUAUGUGUGUUUGUGGUGCUCCAGUAUUCUCUUUACAAGAAUUGACCAUAGAGUUUGUUAAUGUAUGGUGCAAGUGAUGACUCCAGAAUAGGGACAUAAGAAAGUCAUUUUGUGACUUGAUUAGAAAUCCUGGUUUUUGGUCUGAAGCACUGAAGCCAUUUCUACAUAUGGUCAAGGAAUUCAAGUUGGGCAUUUUGGUGGCUUUUACUAUUUUUGCAUUUUUACAGCAACUACACAUCAACACGGAAAGCAGCACUCAUCCAGUCGCCCACUCACCCAGGCAAGUUUCAAGGGUGCAAAUACAUUUGCAUGUAACCCUGUUUGUUUACCAACUGUUAAUCAGGUACAUGAAGCGAUCUAAAGCAACAACUUCACAAGUCAAACUUGAACGUGAUGAAUUGUAAAAAUUGAAACUUGAAGGAGCUGAACAGUAAUAAAAAAUUAUGCUCAAUA
This 1605-nucleotide long non-coding RNA is filed under the name Orbicella faveolata. RNAcentral's name for it is "uncharacterized LOC110040222, transcript variant X4". The record is from RNAcentral. Lineage: Eukaryota; Metazoa; Cnidaria; Anthozoa; Scleractinia; Merulinidae.